This is a long non-coding RNA of Sciurus carolinensis (gray squirrel), 1348 nucleotides long. RefSeq lists it as uncharacterized. The transcript has 4 exons. The record is from RefSeq and is a predicted model, not a curated record. Lineage: Eukaryota; Metazoa; Chordata; Mammalia; Rodentia; Sciuridae.
CAUGGACACACUUUUUAUGCCUUUGGAAAGCAUGGCAGCAACUUGGUAGGGAGCAGAAUGAGUCUUGGUUUUUAAAGUCUCCUUGGAAUGAUGUUCCCUUCCUCACUGUGAACACAGUUUAGCAUUUAUGUACUUUGGAAGGACAAAGAGGUGAGGUAAGCCUGCCAAAAUCGGAACCUGUUUCUGGGAACCUGUUAGGAGGUCAACUGUUAUAAACUGAAGAGAAACUGCAAAACAGCGGUACAUACUAGAAAUUUGGGAGUUGGCCUACAAAUCGCUGUAUUAAAGCCUGUAUCCUGUUUCUUCUUCCACGUCUCAGACAAUGUCUAAGAGAAGAGGACUUUUCUGACUCUGGAGUGCUAAAUAUGGAUGCCACAUCUUUAAAAUAUUGAGCCCUAUGAAGUAAUUCAGUCUGGUCAUUACCAAGCACCCAGAGUCAUCUAUCCUGUUUUAUAAUUCAACCUGCAAACAGAUUAAGCAGUGGAGUUUGUGAGAAGUAUGUUUGCUCUACACUAAGAACCCUUGUGUGACACUAUGGCGACUCCCCUGACACUUCCAAGGGAACUACAGUCAGUUCUUACUCAUCAGCCAGGAAACCAGGCCAAGAAUUCACGGAUUCUUUGUAACAUCAACUUUUUCAUAGAAAUCAGCAUUUGGUUAAGCAGCAGGAGAGACUGUUACCUUUAUGUGUUGAUGUUCUUCUUCCCUAUCCAUAUUGCUCAAAAGAUGCAGGGUGCUCUAUGAUUCAAAAGGCAAUUUACUACUAUAAAAAUCUAUCAACUAAUAGAUUCAUCCUGAUUUUUGAUAUUUUAAUUAUUCUACAAAAAUUUUAAAUGACAAGAACUCAUGUAAAAUUUAAACAAUUGGCUCUAUUUUUCUUUUAGAAAAGUAUGGACAGAAAGAAAGUUCUGAGAGUUGACACAUCUUUUCUUGAAAAUAUGUUUAAAGUUAAAUUUUUCUACAUCCAUUUGUCUGAUUUAUUCACUAUAGAGUUAUAGUUUAUGUGGGCAUUUGAAUUUUACCACUGUAAGUUGGGCCCACAGUAUAGAUGAUAUGGGAAAAAAACUAUUUCAAUGUAAAACCUAAAUGUCUGAGAGAUCGCCUAAACUUAUAAAUAUGUUUGUAAUUACUUUUAUUUUAAGUAACUAUGUGCAGCUUAGGCAUGCUAAGUAUUGCAAAAUGUAUUCUUAAAAUUCCUUUGAAGUUUUGCUUCAGGACACAAGAAGCAUAUCUAUUGAUAGAAAAUAAAAUACAGCACAAUGUGUUGCAUUUUAAAUCUCAUAAUCAUAAAAGCAUUCAUUAGAUGUACUGCUGUCAGUUUUUGCUUGAAUAAAUGGGGACUGGGAAU